GCUGUUAGUUUUUGUGUAUUUUUCUAAUUGCUCUUCAUAUUCUUUUUUGUCCUGCCCAAUUAUACUUUUACAUUUGAGUUGCCACAGUUUAUGCUCGUUUUUGUUUUCCUCUGUAGGAUUUGACUUCCUAUUUUUAAAGGAUGUCUUUUUGUCUCAAACCUCCUCUGUUUAGCCAGGGUGGUUUUUUGGUCCUUUUUUUUUUUUUAACUUGGGGUAUUGUGAUGGGGUGUACACCCCACACUGGAGUGUAAGGGGUUAAUGGGGGCCCAAUUAAUCUAGUAGAGUGAAUGCCCUCGUUAGAGGAACAGGCUCACCUGUGCAGGAGCAGGCAGGGCCUGUAUAAAGCCUGUAUGUAACUAGCAGCCUACAGGGCUGCCACUGGGAAAGACUGCAGGAAAGUAGAUUGUAGCCACUCUCUGAGUGGAGGGAGUUGGAGGCUGGCAAAGCUGGACUGGGGGGAAGAUAAAUAAGCAGGAAGAAGCCUAGGUAACAGCAGCAAGGAGUAGGACUGUACAUGGACUGUAGUUGCUUGUUAUAUGGUCCCUGGGCUGGAACCCAGUGUAGAAGACAGGCCUGGGUUCUCCUACCAGCCACUGGGGCGUGGCAAGGGCAUUGGAGCUGCCAGCAAGCAGGUCUGGAAAGACUGUGAAUUCCCUGGAAAGGGGGGAUCUUAGUGACCUGGCUGGAGGGCCAUGCCCUGAAGAGGAGAUGGCAGGUCCGGGAAUGAGUGGGGCUGUAGAGAGAGACAAUAUGAGGGAAGGUGCCACUGGAGGAGGAGCGCAUGCCUGGCAGAGCUAAUUCCCAGGAUGGCCAGCAGAAGGCCCUGCAAGUGGAGCUCUGACCUCUCUCUUUGGCACAAAUAAGGAUGGUGACAAGGCAUAUACAUGGGAUCCAUGAAAAAACCAGAAGGGCUGCAUUCUACGAUAUCUGCUUGGUACUCCCAUUACCUCGGUGACAUUGUGAACAAGAAGCUGGCAGCAUUAUCUCCCGUUAAUGUAAACAAACUUGUUU
This is a long non-coding RNA of Mauremys reevesii (Reeves's turtle), 1011 nucleotides long. RefSeq lists it as uncharacterized. Lineage: Eukaryota; Metazoa; Chordata; Testudines; Geoemydidae. The record is from RefSeq and is a predicted model, not a curated record. The transcript has 3 exons.